Molecule: ribosomal RNA, 738 nt
Filed under: Triticum aestivum (bread wheat)
Lineage: Eukaryota; Viridiplantae; Streptophyta; Magnoliopsida; Poales; Poaceae
Description: partial small subunit ribosomal RNA
Source: RNAcentral
AUGUCGCCGGGGCAGAAGGGCCACCCACGACGCGCCAUCGCUCAAGGAGGCCGGCGUCGGGCUGUAACCGGCGACGGCACCAACGACGCGCUGGUGCUCAAGGAGGCCGGCGUCGGGCUGUCCAGGGCACCGAGACGAGCACUUGAUCCUCCGUGUCGCUGCACCACCCAGCAACUUCACGCCACGCGCUGGGGACACCGAGUCUACAACAACAUCCGGAAGUUGAUCCAGUUCCAGCUCACCGUCAACGUCGCAGCCCUCGUCAUCAACUUUGUGUCAGCGAUCACCACGGGCAAGAUGCCGCUCACCAUCAUGCAGCUCCUGCGGGUGAACCUGAUCAUGAACACCAUGGGCGCUCUGGCGCUGGCCACGGAUACGCCUACCAAGACGCUCAUGGACCGCCCGCCCAUUGGCCGCACGGCGCCGCUCACCAGCAACCUCGCCGUGCAGGCGGCGUUCCAGAUCGCCGUGCUGCUGGCGCUCCAGUACCGGGGCCGGGACCUCUUCGGCACUGAUGAGAAGGUCAACAGCACCAUGAUCUUCGGCGUGUUCGUGCUCUGGAUGAUGUUCCUGGUCAUCAUCGCCGUCGCCGAGACGCUCGUCCUGCAGGUGGUCAUGGUCGAGGUUGCCGGCACCAAGAGGCUGAGAUUGGGACAGUGGGGCGUCUGUGUUGGAAUAAGCCACGGCUUGAUGCGGUCGGCCUCAUUGGGUGCGCGCGGGACGUGCGGGACGCACUGA